UCUUUGUAGUAAUACAAGGCAUACGGCUCAGUAACGCGUAGUCAACCUACCCUAUGGACAAGAAUAAUCUCGGGAAACUGAGCAUAAUUCUUGGUAGAUCAUAAUGCCUGGAAUGGUUUAUGGUUAAAAUGAUUCGUCGCCAUAGGAUGGGACUGCGGCCUAUCAGCUUGUUGGUGAGGUAAUGGCCCACCAAGGCGAUUACAGGUACGGGCUCUGAGAGGAGAAGCCCGGAGACGGGUACUGAGACAAGGACCCAGGCCCUAUGGGGCGCAGCAGGCGAGAAAACUUUGCAAUGUGCGAAAGCACGACAAGGUUAGUCCGAGUGAUUUCUGCUAAAGAGAUCUUUUGCUAGUUAUAAAACCACUAGUGAAUAAGGGGUGGGCAAGUUCUGGUGUCAGCCGCCGCGGUAAAACCAGCACCUCAAGUGGUCAGGAUGAUUAUUGGGCCUAAAGCAUCCGUAGCCGGCUCUGUAAGUUUUCGGUUAAAUCUAUGCGCUCAACGUAUGGGCUGCCGAAAAUACUGCAGAGAUAGGGAGUGGGAGAGGUAGACGG
RNAcentral lists this ribosomal RNA (551 nucleotides) under uncultured archaeon. RNAcentral's name for it is "bacterial SSU rRNA". It matches the Rfam family "Archaeal small subunit ribosomal RNA", at positions 58 to 615 of the family's 1478-position model. The record is from RNAcentral.